AUAAUAUAUAUAUUUUUUUUUUGAAAAAAAAGUUAUAGUAUUUUUUUAAUACGUUUUUGAGGUAAACAGUGAAAAAAAAUAGAAAAAAAAUUGUAUGGCAAACACUGUAAAAUUGAUUAGAUUCAGGCUGUUUGACACAGUGAUUAUAAUUUACACCAAACAUAAAAACUUUACAUGUGUGAGAAAAACUAGUCCUUAGUUCAAAGAAAACCACAAG
RNAcentral lists this long non-coding RNA (217 nucleotides) under Mytilus galloprovincialis (Mediterranean mussel). The record is from RNAcentral. Lineage: Eukaryota; Metazoa; Mollusca; Bivalvia; Mytilida; Mytilidae.